This 1708-nucleotide ribosomal RNA is filed under the name Shigella sonnei. RNAcentral's name for it is "partial 23S ribosomal RNA". It matches the Rfam family "Bacterial large subunit ribosomal RNA", at positions 1229 to 2915 of the family's 2925-position model. The record is from RNAcentral. Lineage: Bacteria; Pseudomonadati; Pseudomonadota; Gammaproteobacteria; Enterobacterales; Enterobacteriaceae.
UAGGGGAGCGUUCUGUAAGCCUGCGAAGGUGUGCUGUGAGGCAUGCUGGAGGUAUCAGAAGUGCGAAUGCUGACAUAAGUAACGAUAAAGCGGGUGAAAAGCCCGCUCGCCGGAAGACCAAGGGUUCCUGUCCAACGUUAAUCGGGGCAGGGUGAGUCGACCCCUAAGGCGAGGCCGAAAGGCGUAGUCGAUGGGAAACAGGUUAAUAUUCCUGUACUUGGUGUUACUGCGAAGGGGGGACGGAGAAGGCUAUGUUGGCCGGGCGACGGUUGUCCCGGUUUAAGCGUGUAGGCUGGUUUUCCAGGCAAAUCCGGAAAAUCAAGGCUGAGGCGUGAUGACGAGGCACUACGGUGCUGAAGCAACAAAUGCCCUGCUUCCAGGAAAAGCCUCUAAGCAUCAGGUAACAUCAAAUCGUACCCCAAACCGACACAGGUGGUCAGGUAGAGAAUACCAAGGCGCUUGAGAGAACUCGGGUGAAGGAACUAGGCAAAAUGGUGCCGUAACUUCGGGAGAAGGCACGCUGAUAUGUAGGUGAAGUCCCUUGCGGAUGGAGCUGAAAUCAGUCGAAGAUACCAGCUGGCUGCAACUGUUUAUUAAAAACACAGCACUGUGCAAACACGAAAGUGGACGUAUACGGUGUGACGCCUGCCCGGUGCCGGAAGGUUAAUUGAUGGGGUCAGCGCAAGCGAAGCUCUUGAUCGAAGCCCCGGUAAACGGCGGCCGUAACUAUAACGGUCCUAAGGUAGCGAAAUUCCUUGUCGGGUAAGUUCCGACCUGCACGAAUGGCGUAAUGAUGGCCAGGCUGUCUCCACCCGAGACUCAGUGAAAUUGAACUCGCUGUGAAGAUGCAGUGUACCCGCGGCAAGACGGAAAGACCCCGUGAACCUUUACUAUAGCUUGACACUGAACAUUGAGCCUUGAUGUGUAGGAUAGGUGGGAGGCUUUGAAGUGUGGACGCCAGUCUGCAUGGAGCCGGCCUUGAAAUACCACCCUUUAAUGUUUGAUGUUCUAACGUGGACCCGUGAUCCGGGUUGCGGACAGUGUCUGGUGGGUAGUUUGACUGGGGCGGUCUCCUCCUAAAGAGUAACGGAGGAGCACGAAGGUUGGCUAAUCCUGGUCGGACAUCAGGAGGUUAGUGCAAUGGCAUAAGCCAGCUUGACUGCGAGCGUGACGGCGCGAGCAGGUGCGAAAGCAGGUCAUAGUGAUCCGGUGGUUCUGAAUGGAAGGGCCAUCGCUCAACGGAUAAAAGGUACUCCGGGGAUAACAGGCUGAUACCGCCCAAGAGUUCAUAUCGACGGCGGUGUUUGGCACCUCGAUGUCGGCUCAUCACAUCCUGGGGCUGAAGUAGGUCCCAAGGGUAUGGCUGUUCGCCAUUUAAAGUGGUACGCGAGCUGGGUUUAGAACGUCGUGAGACAGUUCGGUCCCUAUCUGCCGUGGGCGCUGGAGAACUGAGGGGGGCUGCUCCUAGUACGAGAGGACCGGAGUGGACGCAUCACUGGUGUUCGGGUUGUCAUGCCAAUGGCACUGCCCGGUAGCUAAAUGCGGAAGAGAUAAGUGCUGAAAGCAUCUAAGCACGAAACUUGCCCCGAGAUGAGUUCUCCCUGACCCUUUAAGGGUCCUGAAGGAACGUUGAAGACGACGACGUUGAUAGGCCGGGUGUGUAAGCGCAGCGAUGCGUUGAGCUAACCGGUACUAAUGAACCGUGAGG